AAUGGGGAAACCCAGUGUGAUUCGUCACACUAUCAUUAACUGAAUCCAUAGGUUAAUGAGGCGAACCGGGGGAACUGAAACAUCUAAGUACCCCGAGGAAAAGAAAUCAACCGAGAUUCCCCCAGUAGCGGCGAGCGAACAGGGAAGAGUCCAGCACCGAACCC
Molecule: ribosomal RNA, 164 nt
Filed under: Pseudomonas protegens
Lineage: Bacteria; Pseudomonadati; Pseudomonadota; Gammaproteobacteria; Pseudomonadales; Pseudomonadaceae
Description: partial 23S ribosomal RNA
Rfam family: Bacterial large subunit ribosomal RNA
Source: RNAcentral